AGCAAGUAAAGAAAGACCGCUUCUAGAGGCCGAUGUACUAAAGCAGGUAGUUGCUUAGUAAAACGAUAAGCAAGCCGUCAACUUUUAGCUGUAUUGAAAGAUGAAUCAGUCACACGGGGGAUGAAAAAUACCCCGCCGUAGGCAGCAGUGGAGAAUAUUGGUCAAUAAGCGAAAGCUUGAACCAGGGUUUUGCGGGGAUGAGAGAUUACUAAAAUCGUGAAGGCUAUGGUAGCCGUAAAGUUCGUGCGCUGGCUGGAAUAAUGAUAUUAAGCCGGAAGAGAACCCCGGGCUAACGACGUGCCAGCAGCUGCGGUAAUACGUUGACGGGGGAGCGUUACUGGUCAUUACUAGGCGUAAAGUGCGGCUAGAUGGUUUAAGAAGUUAUCAGUUAAACAGAAGGAAAAACGAAACUUUUGAUAAUACCUUAAUACUAGAGAAUGGAGGAGGUUAGUAGCACGCAUGACCUAGAGAUAAAAUUCUGACAGGUUAUGAGGGUUUUCAAAUGCCACGGCAGCUAACUACUUUAUUUCUGACAUUGAACCGCUAAAGUACGAGUAUCGAAUAGGAUUGGAGACCCUAAUAGUUCGUACCCUGAAUCAAUGGGCAUUUCAUGUUGGGAAAGUAAUCCCGGUGUGUAAGCUAACGCGUAAAUGCCUCGCCUGGGGAGUAAGGCUGCAAAGGCAAAACUUAAAAAGAUUGGCGGGAGUUUGUAUGAACGGUGGAGCGUGUGGUUUAAUUCGAUAAUCCACGUGGAAUCUUACCAACGUAUAGACUAGAAAUUAUGUUCAGGUUUACCCUACAUGUCGAAGUUUCUAGUUAAUGGUACUGCAUGGCUGUCGUCAGUUCGUGUUGUAGAAUGUAAUAUUAAGUUAUUUAACGAACGCAACCCUUAUCGUAAGUUUUCUUGU
RNAcentral lists this ribosomal RNA (908 nucleotides) under Schmidingerella taraikaensis. Its description in RNAcentral is "partial Bacterial small subunit ribosomal RNA". It matches the Rfam family "Bacterial small subunit ribosomal RNA", at positions 196 to 1123 of the family's 1533-position model. The record is from RNAcentral. Lineage: Eukaryota; Ciliophora; Spirotrichea; Tintinnida; Rhabdonellidae.